GACGAACGCUGGCGGCGUGCUUAACACAUGCAAGUCGAGCGGUAAGGCCCUUUCGGGGGUACGACGAGCGGCGAACGGGUGAGUAACACGUGGGUGACCUGCCCUCAGCUCUGGGGUAAGCCUGGGAAACGUAGGGUCUAAUACUGGAUAUGACUCCACGGUGCAUGUCGUGGGGUGGAAAGCCUUGUGCGGCUGAGGAUGGGCCCGCGGCCUAUCAGCUUGUUGGUGGGGUGAUGGCCUACCAAGGCGACGACGGGUAGCCGGCCUGAGAGGGCGACCGGCCACACUGGGACUGAGACACGGCCCAGACUCCUACGGGAGGCAGCAGUGGGGAAUCUUGCGCAAUGGGCGAAAGCCUGACGCAGCGACGCCGCGUGAGGGAUGACGGCCUGG
This 393-nucleotide ribosomal RNA is filed under the name uncultured bacterium. RNAcentral's name for it is "bacterial SSU rRNA". It matches the Rfam family "Bacterial small subunit ribosomal RNA", at positions 28 to 419 of the family's 1533-position model. The record is from RNAcentral.